AGUAGAGUUUGAUCCUGGCUCAGGAUGAACGCUGGCGGUAUGCUUAACACAUGCAAGUCGAACGGGAUGCUUAGGCAUCUAGUGGCGGACGGGUGAGUAACGCGUGAGAAUCUGGCUCCAGGUCGGGGAUAACAGUUGGAAACGACUGCUAAUACCGGAUGUGCCGAGAGGUGAAAGAUUUAUUGCCUGGAGAUGAGCUCGCGUCUGAUUAGCUAGUUGGUGGUGUAAGGGACCACCAAGGCGUCGAUCAGUAGCUGGUCUGAGAGGAUGAUCAGCCACACUGGGACUGAGACACGGCCCAGACUCCUACGGGAGGCAGCAGUGGGGAAUUUUCCGCAAUGGGCGAAAGCCUGACGGAGCAAUACCGCGUGAGGGAGGAAGGCUCUUGGGUCGUAAACCUCUUUUCUCAAGGAAGAAGAAAGUGACGGUACUUGAGGAAUAAGCAUCGGCUAACUCCGUGCCAGCAGCCGCGGUAAUACGGAGGAUGCAAGCGUUAUCCGGAAUGAUUGGGCGUAAAGGGUCUGCAGGUGGAACUGAAAGUCUGCUGUUAAAGAGUUUGGCUUAACCAAAUAAAAGCGGUGGAAACUACAGAACUAGAGUGCGGUAGGGGCAAAAGGAAUUCCUGGUGUAGCGGUGAAAUGCGUAGAUAUCAGGAAGAACACCGGUGGCGAAAGCGUUUUGCUAGACCGUAACUGACACUGAGGGACGAAAGCUAGGGGAGCGAAUGGGAUUAGAUACCCCAGUAGUCCUAGCCGUAAACGAUGGAUACUAGGCGUGGCUUGUAUCGACCCGAGCCGUGCCGGAGCUAACGCGUUAAGUAUCCCGGCUGGGGAGUACGCACGCAAGUGUGAAACUCAAAGGAAUUGACGGGGGCCCGCACAAGCGGUGGAGUAUGUGGUUUAAUUCGAUGCAACGCGAAGAACCUUACCAAGACUUGACAUCCUGCGAAUCCCGGUGAAAGCUGGGAGUGCCUUAGGGAGCGCAGAGACAGGUGGUGCAUGGCUGUCGUCAGCUCGUGUCGUGAGAUGUUGGGUUAAGUCCCGCAACGAGCGCAACCCUCGUUUUUAGUUGCCAGCAUUAAGUUGGGCACUCUAGAGAGACUGCCGGUGACAAACCGGAGGAAGGUGAGGAUGACGUCAAGUCAGCAUGCCCCUUACGUCUUGGGCUACACACGUACUACAAUGCUACGGACAGAGGGCAGCAAGCCAGGGAUGGCAAGCGAAUCCAGAAACCGUAGCUCAGUUCAGAUCGAAGGCUGCAACUCGCCUUCGUGAAGGAGGAAUCGCUAGUAAUUGCAGGUCAGCAUACUGCAGUGAAUUCGUUCCCGGGCCUUGUACACACCGCCCGUCACACCAUGGAAGUUGGUCACGCCCGAAGUCAUUACCCCAAC
This 1390-nucleotide ribosomal RNA is filed under the name Cylindrospermopsis raciborskii. Its description in RNAcentral is "bacterial SSU rRNA". It matches the Rfam family "Bacterial small subunit ribosomal RNA". The record is from RNAcentral. Lineage: Bacteria; Bacillati; Cyanobacteriota; Cyanophyceae; Nostocales; Aphanizomenonaceae.